This 419-nucleotide ribosomal RNA is filed under the name uncultured bacterium. RNAcentral's name for it is "bacterial SSU rRNA". It matches the Rfam family "Bacterial small subunit ribosomal RNA", at positions 29 to 489 of the family's 1533-position model. The record is from RNAcentral.
AGCGAACGCUGGCGGCAUGCUUAACACAUGCAAGUCGCACGGGUCAGGUUUCGGCCUGGCAGUGGCGGACGGGUGAGUAUCGCGUAGGGAUUUAUCGUUGGGUGGGGAUAACCUUGGGAAACUGGGGCUAAUACCGCAUGACGCCUGUGGGCCAAAGUUGUAAUGGCGCCUGACGAGAAGCCUGCGUCCGAUUAGCUAGUUGGUGGGUAAAGCCUACCAAGGCUGCGACGGUAGCUGGUCUGAGAGGAUGAUCAGCCACACUGGGACUGAGACACGGCCCAGACUCCCACGGGAGGCAGCAGUGGGGAAUAUUGGACAAUGGGCGCAAGCCUGAUCCAGCAAUGCCGCGUGGAUGAAGAAGGUUUUCGGAUUGUAAAGUCCUUUCGGCGGGGACGAUGAUGACAGUACCCGCAGAAGAA